GAUGAACGCUAGCGGGAGGCUUAACACAUGCAAGUCGAGGGGCAGCAUAGGGUAGCAAUACUCUGAUGGCGACCGGCAAACGGGUGAGUAACGCGUAUGCAACCUACCCUGUACAGGGGGAUAACCCGGAGAAAUUCGGACUAAUAUCCCGUAAUAAUAUCCGGAGGCAUCUUUGGAUAUUUAAAGUUCCGACGGUACGGGAUGGGCAUGCGUAACAUUAGCUGGUUGGUAAGGUAACGGCUUACCAAGGCUAUGAUGUUUAGGGGUCCUGAGAGGGUGGUCCCCCACACUGGUACUGAGACACGGACCAGACUCCUACGGGAGCAGCAGUGAGGAAUAUUGGUCAAUGGGCGCAAGCCUGAACCAGCCAUCCCGCGUGCAGGAAGACGGCCCUAGUGGGUUGUAAACUGCUUUUCCAGGGAGAGAAACUUACGCACGUGUUGCGUGACUGACGGUACCCUGGGAAUAAGCAUCGGCUAACUCCGUGCCAGCAGCCGCGGUAAUAGUGUGU
RNAcentral lists this ribosomal RNA (511 nucleotides) under uncultured bacterium. RNAcentral describes it as "bacterial SSU rRNA". It matches the Rfam family "Bacterial small subunit ribosomal RNA", at positions 28 to 531 of the family's 1533-position model. The record is from RNAcentral.